RNAcentral lists this ribosomal RNA (354 nucleotides) under uncultured bacterium. RNAcentral describes it as "bacterial SSU rRNA". It matches the Rfam family "Bacterial small subunit ribosomal RNA", at positions 917 to 1264 of the family's 1533-position model. The record is from RNAcentral.
GGGCCCGCACAAGCGGUGGAGCAUGUGGCUUAAUUCGAAGCAACGCGAAGAACCUUAUCCUGGGUUUGACAUGCAUGGAUUAGCUUCCUGAAAGGGAAGUGACGCGGCUUGCCGUGGAACAUGCACAGGUGCUGCAUGGCUGUCGUCAGCUCGUGCUGUGAAGUGUCGGGUUAAGUCCCUUAACGAGCGCAACCCCUAUCACUAGUUGCUAGCGAGUAAUGUCGAGGACUCUAGUGAGACUGCCGGUGUCAAACCGGAGGAAGGUGGGGAUGACGUCAAGUCCGAUGGCCUUUAUGCCCAGGGCUGCACACGUGCUACAAUGGUUGGUACAGAGGGUUGCAACCCCGCGAGGGG